This 330-nucleotide ribosomal RNA is filed under the name uncultured bacterium. RNAcentral describes it as "bacterial SSU rRNA". It matches the Rfam family "Bacterial small subunit ribosomal RNA", at positions 568 to 898 of the family's 1533-position model. The record is from RNAcentral.
UCCGUAGGCGGUGUGGCAAGUCGGAAGUGAAAUCUCUGGGCUUAACCCAGAGGCUGCUUCCGAAACUGCUGUGCUAGAGUGCGAGAGAGGCGAGUGGAAUUGCGGGUGUAGCGGUGAAAUGCGUAGAUAUCCGCAGGAACAUCCGAGGCGAAAGCGGCUCGCUGGAUCGCAACUGACGCUGAGGGACGAAAGCUAGGGGAGCAAACAGGAUUAGAUACCCUGGUAGUCCUAGCCCUAAACCAUCAGGACUUGGGGUUUGCCCUGUACGGGGCAAGUCCCGUAGCUAACGCGUUAAGUCCUGCGCCUGGGGAGUACGGUCGCAAGGCUGAA